Non-coding RNA from Phrynosoma platyrhinos (Desert horned lizard), 72 nucleotides. Lineage: Eukaryota; Metazoa; Chordata; Lepidosauria; Squamata; Phrynosomatidae. The record is from the annotation of a GenBank genome assembly.
ACAUUUGUAGUGUAGUGGUUUGAGCAUUGGACUAUACCUCUGGAGAUCAGGGUUCGAUUCCCAGCUCGAGUU